GACGAACGCUGGCGGCGUGCUUAACACAUGCAAGUCGAACGGAAAGGCCCCUUUGGGGGUACUCGAGUGGCGCACGGGUGAGUAACACGUGAGUAACCUGCCCUUGACUUCGGGUUAACUUCAGGAAACUGGGGCUAAUACCGGAAAGGAAUCCUUGCUGCAUGGUGGGGGUUGGAAAGCUUCGGCGGUUUUGGAUGGACUCGCGGCUUGUCAGCUUGUUGGUGGGGUAGUGGCUUACCAAGGCUUUGACGGGUAGCCGGCCUGAGAGGGCGACCGGCCACAUUGGGACUGAGAUACGGCCCAGACUCCUACGGGAGGCAGCAGUGGGGAAUAUUGCACAAUGGGCGGAAGCCUGAUGCAGCAACGCCGCGUGCGGGAUGACGGCCUUCGUGUUGUAAACCGCUUUCAGCAGGGGCGAAGCUUGUGGUGACGGUACCUGCAGAAGAAGCACCGGCUAACUACGUG
RNAcentral lists this ribosomal RNA (465 nucleotides) under uncultured bacterium. RNAcentral's name for it is "partial 16S ribosomal RNA". It matches the Rfam family "Bacterial small subunit ribosomal RNA", at positions 28 to 507 of the family's 1533-position model. The record is from RNAcentral.